This is a non-coding RNA of Polypterus senegalus (gray bichir), 405 nucleotides long. NCBI's taxonomy places the organism in Eukaryota, Metazoa, Chordata, Cladistia, Polypteriformes, Polypteridae. The record is from the annotation of a RefSeq genome assembly.
GAUGAUACCUUCCUGGCUGAGCCACUGACCAGAUGUACAGUGACAAUGGCUCCUCUUCUGCACCUGUUCUGUACCAUCCUUAUUGUCUUCACUCGAGAUUCUGUUGGUGAGAUUACUGUGACUCAGGAACCGAGAGCCAAGUCAUUUACCCCAGGAGAGAGUGUCACUAUCACUUGCACAACCAGCAGUUAUGUGGGAAACAACCUGAAUUGGUACAUGAUUAAAGACAAACAAGCCCCAAAACUCUUGAUCUAUGAUGCGAGCAUUCGCUUUUCUCAUGUCACAAGUCGCUUCAGUGGCACUGGAUCAGACCCUGUGUACACGUUUACUAUAAGUGAUCUCAGGGAUGAUGAUGCCGGUUAUUACUACUGUAACCAGGACUUUCAAUACCCUUUCACACAGUGA